UGCGGAGGGUGCAAGCGUUAAUCGGAAUUACUGGGCGUAAAGGGCGCGUAGGCGGCCUGUUAAGUCAUGCGUGAAAUCCCCGGGCUCAACCCGGGAACUGCGUCUGAUACUGGCAGGCUUGAAUCCGGGAGAGGGAUGUGGAAUUCCAGGUGUAGCGGUGAAAUGCGUAGAUAUCUGGAGGAACACCGGUGGCGAAGGCGGCAUCCUGGACCGGCAUUGACGCUGAGGCGCGAAAGCCAGGGGAGCAAACGGG
Molecule: ribosomal RNA, 253 nt
Filed under: uncultured bacterium
Lineage: Bacteria
Description: partial 16S ribosomal RNA
Rfam family: Bacterial small subunit ribosomal RNA
Source: RNAcentral